AGAUCAGGAAAGCCACACC
RNAcentral lists this ribosomal RNA (19 nucleotides) under Pogonatum semipellucidum. RNAcentral's name for it is "partial 26S ribosomal RNA". Lineage: Eukaryota; Viridiplantae; Streptophyta; Polytrichopsida; Polytrichales; Polytrichaceae. The record is from RNAcentral.